This 468-nucleotide ribosomal RNA is filed under the name uncultured bacterium. RNAcentral's name for it is "partial 16S ribosomal RNA". It matches the Rfam family "Bacterial small subunit ribosomal RNA", at positions 28 to 507 of the family's 1533-position model. The record is from RNAcentral.
GACGAACGCUGGCGGCGUGCUUAACACAUGCAAGUCGAACGGAAAGGCCCUGCUUUUGUGGGGUGCUCGAGUGGCGAACGGGUGAGUAACACGUGAGUAACCUGCCCUUGACUUUGGGAUAACUUCAGGAAACUGGGGCUAAUACCGGAGAGGAGCUCCUGCUGCAUGGUGGGGGUUGGAAAGUUUCGGCGGUUGGGGAUGGACUCGCGGGUUAUCAGCCUGUUGGUGGGGUAGUGGCUUACCAAGGCUUUGACGGGUAGCCGGCCUGAGAGGGUGACCGGGCACAUGGGGACUGAGAUACGGCCCAGACGCCUACGGGAGGCAGCAGUGGAGAAUAUUGCACAGUGGGCGGACGCCUGAGGCAGCGACGCCGCGUGCGGGAUGACGGCCUUCGGGUUGUAAACCGCUUUCGCCUGUGACGAAGCGUGAGUGACGGUAAUGGGUAAAGAAGCACCGGCUAACUACGUG